RNAcentral lists this ribosomal RNA (555 nucleotides) under Rymosia fasciata. RNAcentral describes it as "partial 12S ribosomal RNA". The record is from RNAcentral. Lineage: Eukaryota; Metazoa; Arthropoda; Insecta; Diptera; Mycetophilidae.
AAUUAAUACAAAUAAAAUUUAUCAUUAAAAAGUUAAAAAUGAUUAAAUAUAUAAUUUUCUCUAUAAUUUAUUAGGUUAAAUUUUAAAUUAUAAAAUUAUUAUUCAAUAAAUGGUUUUUAAGCUUGAAAAAAUUUAUUGAUAAACUAGGAUUAGAUACCCUAUUAUAGAAAUUGUAAAUAAUAAAAUAAUAGAGUAGUAUUAGUUAUAUUCUUAAAACUUAAUAAAUUUGGCGGUAUUUUAAUCUAUUCAGAGGAGCUUGUUUUAUAAUUGAUAAUCCUCAUUAAAUCUUACUUAAAUUAAAAAAUUUGUAUACCGUCGUCAUAAGAAUUUCUUUUAAAAGAAAAAAUUUUCUAAAUAAUUUAUUAGUUAAAAUGUCAGAUCAAGGUGCAGUUUAUAUUUAAGAAAAAAUGAGCUACAAUAAAUUUAUUUAAACGAAUAAAAAAUUGAAAUAUUUUUUUAAAGGUGGAUUUGAUAGUAAAAUUAAUAAAUAAGUUAAUUUGAUUUUAGUUCUAAAAUAUGCACAUAUCGCCCGUCGCUCUCGUUAUUUAAAAUGAG